AAGGGGGACAGUUUUCUGUUGGAGGCUUUGACAAGGGCACGAAGGGAAGCAGAAUUUGCUGCUGCCAGACUGCCUGCCCUUGCCACUAACAGUAAUUGCCCUAAUGUUGUUCCUUCUGCCCCCCCUCUUGCUUCAAUGCAGGGUAAUGGUAAUGCAUGAAGGGGCCCUGCUCAGACUUUAAGUGGGGAGACUUUUGUCUCACCACAAUUGACAAUGGUUACUGGGAUUAAGGAUUGUGAUUUUGAUGUUAAAAGGGGCCAAUCUGAGUGGGGAAUUUUGGGUUUGUGUGGCCCUGAACCUAAGAAAAAGAUUUGUCCUCCUACUAAGNAAUUGUGUGUAGAAGAAAGAAAAGAUGUAUUGGAUGCUUUAAGAAUCGUAUCUGGUAGAACUGCAGUGUUAGAAAAUGACCAGAAGGCUACAGAAAGCAAGAAUGUAGAAAUUGUGUUAGGCGUGCCUUGUGAUCAUGUACCUGAAUCCAUAGGAGAUAAUGUGUGUAGUGUGCAGGAAAAAGAAUCUGAUGUUGAAGAUUUANAAAGACAGUCUGAAAGUCAGAAUGCACAGGAAUCUGGAGUUAUGGCAGCAGGGAAGCAUAGAGACAGGAUUUCUCUUGCNUUGCCUGUGGAAGUUGAGAUUGUUGAUGUGCCUCAGAGCAUUCUGGAAAAUAAAAUUGUUGAUCAUUGUGUAAUUAGUGUUGAAAACAAGUCUGACAGUCAGGGGACACAGAAAUUUGCUACUGCUUUAAAUAUGACAAUGGAAAAGGGUUUGAAUCCGUUUUUGUGUGCUGAAUGGGAACAAAUGGAGGCUGGUAGUGGUUUGUCUAGGAAUGACAGAACCAGCUCAACCAGGCAAGAAGUACCAUUUNAGGCACAGGAAGGAGACAACCUUACAGUGUCGUUGUUUCACAAAGAGAGCAGAUUUGGAUGUCUAGAUUUNGAGGCUUGUAUUUCUAACUCUGAAGCAAAGAUCUCAAUUGUACCAGAAUGUGAAAAUCUGCAAGAAUGCAAUUUUAAACAAAANGGCUUUCCUGUGAAUUAUAAUAGAGCAGGUAGUUCCUCAGGAAAACUUUUGGAAAAAGAAAACAGGUUUGGUUGUGUAAGUUUUGAGGCGUGUAAUUCUAGUGCUAUGGCUUUGGCAGAACAUGGCUCUGAUAGGGAGAAUGUUGCUGUUGAUUCUAAUUACACUGAGGCAAGAAAACAGGAGAGGAUCAGUCUGAUCCAAACCUGGGAAAAGGAUUUAGAAGCUACUUCUUUGGUUACUCAAAGGGAAGAAAAUAGAGAGGCUUGUGUUUUUGUAGACUCUGGAGUAAGAAAGGAGGCUCAGGAUGUGUCUAGUAUGUGCAAGGGAAAUCCAGAGUUGAAACCAC
Molecule: long non-coding RNA, 1363 nt
Filed under: Salvator merianae (Argentine black and white tegu)
Lineage: Eukaryota; Metazoa; Chordata; Lepidosauria; Squamata; Teiidae
Description: lncRNA (ENSSMRG00000000447.1)
Source: RNAcentral